CUUUUCUCAUUAUUUUACAAUGUGUUAUGGCUAAAGGCUCAUUGGACAACCACAACGCUGUGUGACCCAGAGCAGAACCCUGUUUGCUCGACAACUUAUGCAAACAAGGAUUCUCGUUUGGGAGGUCAACGUGACGGACACAAUCUGUAGUGAAAUAUUUCCUUUGCAAAGCUGUUCUUUGUUGCUUAGGUGGAUGUCAACAUUAACUCUCACUUUGCAUAAACCAAAUACGUUGACUGAAGAAUAAUUUGAACUUCCAGUUUGGAAGAAUUACUACAAAGGAAGUUUUGACUGUUUAUUUUUAACUAAUCGGUGGUCUAGUUUCAACACGGCUCAACUCAAACAUGCCAAUCUCUCUCUGUCUAACCACAUCUCUUCUAGUCAGUGACUAGUGCCAUUACUUAUGCACGUGUCUGGUGAUGCAGUGGUUUGGCUCAGUGACUUCAGACUGCAGAGGCUGUGUGCUCUGCGGAGACAACGGGGUACAGAAACCUCAUCGCCGAACACCGGCCACGUGCACAGUGCGCUCAUAGAAAUAAUUCAACUCUUUGUCCGUGUUUAUAAUUCUCCAAGCUUAAGAAAAAGCUCUGGCAGCGCCUCUAAAGCUCACAAGAUGACAGCUGACGCAGGGCUGUGGUCAUUCUGGGAUGAGUCUAGUCAGCAGAAGAGGACAGAGCCUGAUUGGACGUUGGCACAAUAACAUGGGAUAAGGCAAUGAAACCAUUGCUCCAAGUCAUAAACAUCUAUCAUUUCAUUGUAAAUGUAGAAGCUCUGCUUUGUAGUACUCUGUCCAUUUUUGUUUGAUUUCCCUCUAUAAACAUUAGGAAAUUGAAAAAAAAAUCAGUGUUGUGGUUCCUUUGAAUAGAGGCUGCAAAUGAGAAGUAUGUCCGUUUAGAUUCGAUUAGACUGAAAUCCAGCCUCAGCCAUUUAUCGCAGCAUGUCAAGGACCUAAGCAGAGACGUUAUUAUUUACAGAGACCACAAUGUGCACAGUGUUCUGUGGCCGUGGAAAUAGAUCCUGGCAUCCUGAGGCCAUCUAGUGGCUCGUGCUGCGUUACAAGUGUUGGAGUGGCUUUGUAAUUGCUUUAACCAUUUUGUAAUGUGUUGAUUCUCUGCAAAUGUUAGUGAACCA
Molecule: long non-coding RNA, 1131 nt
Organism: Gasterosteus aculeatus aculeatus (three-spined stickleback)
Lineage: Eukaryota; Metazoa; Chordata; Actinopteri; Perciformes; Gasterosteidae
Source: Ensembl